This 554-nucleotide long non-coding RNA is filed under the name Sinocyclocheilus anshuiensis. Its description in RNAcentral is "lncRNA (ENSSANG00000038284.1)". Lineage: Eukaryota; Metazoa; Chordata; Actinopteri; Cypriniformes; Cyprinidae. The record is from RNAcentral.
CUGUGUAACUCUUCAUGUGUGUCCACACUGCCGGUGCUCUCUGCCAGACUGGAUACAGACGGACAGCUACUGUUGAGAAUCAAAGCCGCAGAUGAAAGCAAAACCUGGAGCAGGAAUAUGAUAAAUGUACUAGGACCUGAUGUUCAUGUCAAGAACAUUGGAAGGAUCCACGUCGUCCAGUUCGCUCCUGAGGGAGUGUUUGGUUGUAUUUUAAAAGACCCCUUGCUCAUUGAUUCUUUAGUAAGAGAACCAGUUGAAAUUCUGGAGAGAGAUUUAAGGAAGAAACGACAUGCUGAUCAGAGUGAGGUUUCCGAGCCUCUUCCACGGAUCCCAAAUCCCAUCGCAUGUCUGUCCCCAAAUGAUAUGCUCAUCUUUCAGCUCACCAUCAACCACACCGACCGCCACUACAGUCACUUCCCAGUGUACCAGAAGGAUCACCUGUUCAGCAGUAACCCUGGCUGGGAUUUUGGGGCAUUUAGACGUCUGCAGCAUCUUGUCAAACACACACAGCUUAAUUCCAGCAGGUAAGACUAGAUAGGUAUAUCACACGUAGC